UACGGAGGGGGCUAGCGUUGUCCGGAAUCAUUGGGCGUAAAGCGCGCGUAGGCGGCCCGGUAAGUCCGCUGUGAAAGUCAAAGGCUCAACCUUUGAAUGUCAGCGGAUACUGCCGGGCUAGAGUCCGGAAGAGGCGAGUGGAAUUCCUGGUGUAGCGGUGGAAUGCGCAGAUAUCAGGAGGAACACCAACGGCGAAGGCAGCUCGCUGGGACGGUACUGACGCUGAGGCGCGAAAGCGUGGGGAGCGAACAGG
Molecule: ribosomal RNA, 253 nt
Filed under: uncultured bacterium
Lineage: Bacteria
Description: partial 16S ribosomal RNA
Rfam family: Bacterial small subunit ribosomal RNA
Source: RNAcentral